This 428-nucleotide ribosomal RNA is filed under the name uncultured prokaryote. RNAcentral describes it as "bacterial SSU rRNA". It matches the Rfam family "Bacterial small subunit ribosomal RNA", at positions 355 to 774 of the family's 1533-position model. The record is from RNAcentral.
UAGGGAAUAUUGCGCAAUGAAAGAAAGUUUGACGCAGCGACGCCGCGUGAGGGAUGAAGGUCUUCGGAUCGUAAACCUCUGUCAAGAGGGAAGAAGUGUAGCAGCUCUAACAUAGCUGUUAUUUGACGGUACCUCUGAAGGAAGCACCGGCUAACUUCGUGCCAGCAGCCGCGGUAAUACGAAGGGUGCAAGCGUUAAUCGGAAUUACUGGGCGUAAAGCGCGUGUAGGCGGUCCUGCAAGUCUGAUGUGAAAGCCCCGGGCUUAACCCGGGAAGUGCAUUGGAAACUGUGGGACUUGAGUACUGGAGAGGAUGGGGGAAGUCCCGGUGUAGAGGUGAAAUUCGUAGAUAUCGGGAGGAACACCAGUGGCGAAGGCGGUUUCCUGGCCUGAUACUGACGCUGAGGCGCGAAAGCGUGGGGAGCAAACA